UUCUUCCUAAGAACACAGCAACGCGAACCCCAAUCCCCAACGCGUAGCCGCCAGCUCCAGCUUGGCGACGGUGGCAGCGGGCCAGAUCCGGUGUCUAGCUGGGCGAUUGCGCCCGGUGGAGGUCCAGAUCCAUCCACGACCGUCUUGUUGCCGGCGUUCUGGCUGCCCCGGCGGACCUCCUCUGUCCGAAGCUGAGACCUUGUGCGGGCAAGUUCUCCAAGGUCCUCUGCUGCGACCUCCAUAGAAAACUCUCAUUCCAUUCUUUCUCCUACCCCAAUGAGCCCAUUCUCCACACGUCGCCUGCACCCCCGCAUCUAACUCCACCAUCUGGGAACGUCGUAGAAGAAAUCUCCAGUCUUCAUGUAUGCUUGUCUGAAAGAAGUCAGAUAUUUGGAUUUGGAGUGAAAUGCAAUUUCUGCUCUGCAUAUGAUGGAUAGAUCAAAGCUCGUCGACUAGUACUACGUUCGUCCUCCGCUGUUUUGUUGCUGCAUCUCGAACUGAAAAUGGAAGGAAGUGGAGGGACGUCGCCUUUAGGAGAGCCCACCGUUCCAGUAAUCCCAAACUAUGUACCAACACUGUCAGUUGUGGAAUCGGCCAAUAGUGUCCAAAAUCAAGAUUUCAGUGAUGCUACCUCACAAUGUUUUCGAGUCGACGAGUCGACGGGUCGCUCGGGGGGAGCGACUCUAGACUAGUCGUGACUAGUCUAGACUCACGGUCGACGAGUCGACAUGGCGACGAGUCGAUAUGAGUUAAGCAGUAGGUACUAGGUAGUAGGGCAUUAGGUACAUUAAGUAAAUGCAACCAGAUUCAAAUGCAAGGAAAUAAGUUCAACACUUCAAGUCUUCAACACCAAAACAUGAAUGGCAGAUUAAAAUGCAAGGAAAUAAGUUCAACACUUCAAAUCUUCAAGCAAUCAAGCCUCAAGCUCCAUGUCUUGAAGCUGAAAAUCAGUGUCUUCAUCAUCUGGUGAUUCAGCAUCGUCUUCAUCACUGCUCUCCAUGUCUUUGUCAUAUUCUGCCGCUUCUAAUUCAGCCCUCAACUCUUCAUCAUGCACAACCAGCCUUGUUCUUGCGUUGUUCCGAGUGUAGGUGAUAUAAGGGCCUAUGGGUCGUGCAAUAGGCUCGCUAGGAUCACCACGAGCUCUCCUAGGAUAGUUGCGGCCUGCUAGAGAAGUUGAUGCACCCAUGGCUUCAUCAACCUGAGACCACAGUAGUGGUGUUUCACCGUCCAUGACUUGAGCUUGAUCUUCAUGUACCAUUUCAGUAUUGAUAUCAACCCAUUCAUUAUCCCAUUCAAAUUCUUCUAGGACAAGUGGACUAGAUUUCUUUGCUUUAGAGCCUUGCUCACGCAGAUUCUGAAACCUAGCUUCCAUUUUCCGGUUGUACGAGACAUAUGAUAGCUUGUUCAAUCUCUUGUACUCUAGACGGUUUCUCCCUUUGGUGUGGAUCUGCAAGCACACAAAUAUGUGAGAAGCUGCUGCAAUUAGCCUAUCAAACCAGCCAGAUGCUGCUGCUACUUACAUGAGCAAAUACACUCCAAUUGCGCUCGCAGCCAGAUGCUGAACAACAUAGACUAAUGAUUCGCUUUGCAAGAGUUUGGAGGUCAAAAGCAAGGCCACCAUAAGCAUUCCACCAAAGAACUACAAAACCAAGAAGUCCCACAUUAAAGAGAAGGCCACAAUAACCAGCAAUUAGUGGAGUAACUGAGCUGAACAAGAAGACACAAGCUGCCAUAAAAUUUAUACUUACGUGGUCCAGAGGUGUUUCUUCAUCCUAAUUAGUGCACAUACUCACAAUUGUAAACCCCCCAGCAAGGUGUUUCUUCAUCCUACAAGGUCCAGAGGUAAUUUGCUUGCCGCACAAAUUACAUUGCAGCAACAAUCUCUUGUUAAGAUCUGGCCAGAAUGCAUAUUUCCAUGCUGGAUCCUUGCUCUUUGUUGGCCUCCUCUUAGGAUCUUUGAAUGGGUCAUAGUGCUCAUCAGCUUCUUCUGCAGCUUGAGCUGAUCGAACAACUUGGGAUAUCUCUGGCUGGGAGGACAUGGUGCUUGCUGUGAAUCUAUGAUAGAAGGAAAGAUAACUCCACUUAGUUGUUUUUCUCACCAAAUCAAGCCCUAAGCUAACUAGCAGAAACAGUACUUACCGGGGGAGGAGUGGAGGAGCACAAGAGCAGCAGCAUUAACCAGGGGAGGAGCAGAGGAGCACAACAACAGCAGCAUCAACCAGGGGAGGAGUGGAGGAGCACAGCAGCAGCAACAACCAAAGGAGGAAGGGGAGGAGCACAUGGAAGGAGUGAAGGCAGCCGCCAGGGAAAGGGUUAGGUCAGGGUGAGGGGGGAUGGAUCGAUCUAUAUAUUUCUAGUGCUGGGAUGGGCUGAUGGGCCAAAAAACUGUUGGGGGCCCAAAAUAACUGAGUCGUUCGACUCACUUAUGGCGACUAGUCGUGACUAGUCGAGACUAGUCGCUCGAGUCACUCGACUCAUGCGAGGAGUCGAGUCGCCAGCCCGAGGCGCUCCUGCUCUUGCGACUCGUCGACUAGUCGACGACUAGUCGCGACUAGUCGCUCGACUCGAAAACAGAGCUACCUCAUUUGCAGAAAUAAAUUCCCCAAUGCUUCUCAUUCAUGAUGCGAGUACACCAAAAAGGAAACAAGCCUUCUCUCAAGAGGUCUGACUUCUCCCAGCACAAGAAGAUCGAUAAGCAAGAGGCACUAGUACUGGAGGCAAAAGGCUGUAGCUUUUCUGUUGUGUACCAAACAGAGCAAACUUGAUGCAAAUUCUGAUGGCAAGCUUGUUCAGCAGACAGCGGUGCUUACUUUAGUCCUGCAUACUCUGUGUUGUCUGUGAUGUACCAAAAAUGGUCCUCUCAUGUUAUGUAACACUUUAUAUGUAUGUGUGUCGUCUCUGUUAUGUUCUGUUCUGUCUGGGAUAGUGCAAUUUAAAAUGUAUGCGUAGUUAUGGUUUAAAGUGGAUGGAUUAAUUUUCUCAUGUCUCAAAAAUUUGUGAUGUUCUCAUACAUUUUA
Molecule: long non-coding RNA, 3017 nt
Organism: Triticum dicoccoides
Lineage: Eukaryota; Viridiplantae; Streptophyta; Magnoliopsida; Poales; Poaceae
Exons: 4
Source: RefSeq, a predicted model, not a curated record